This 274-nucleotide ribosomal RNA is filed under the name uncultured bacterium. RNAcentral's name for it is "partial 16S ribosomal RNA". It matches the Rfam family "Bacterial small subunit ribosomal RNA", at positions 523 to 796 of the family's 1533-position model. The record is from RNAcentral.
AUACAGAGGGUGCGAGCGUUAAUCGGAUUUACUGGGCGUAAAGCGUGCGUAGGUGGUUGGGUAAGUCAGAUGUGAAAGCCCCGGGCUUAACCUGGGAACUGCAUUUGAUACUGCCUAGCUAGAGUUUGGUAGAGGGAAGUGGAAUUCCAGGUGUAGCGGUGAAAUGCGUAGAUAUCUGGAGGAACACCAGUGGCGAAAGCGGCUUCCUGGACCGAAACUGACACUGAGGCACGAAAGCGUGGGGAGCAAACAGGAUUAGAUACCCCAGUAGUCC